GGGGUUGUGGCUCAGUGGUUGGGCACUUGCCUAGCAUGCAUGAGGCACUGGGUUCAAUCCCCAGCACCA
This 69-nucleotide transfer RNA is filed under the name Ictidomys tridecemlineatus (thirteen-lined ground squirrel). RNAcentral's name for it is "Spermophilus tridecemlineatus (thirteen-lined ground squirrel) tRNA". It matches the Rfam family "tRNA". From Rfam's summary of the family: Transfer RNA (tRNA) molecules are approximately 80 nucleotides in length. Lineage: Eukaryota; Metazoa; Chordata; Mammalia; Rodentia; Sciuridae. The record is from Rfam by way of RNAcentral.